RNAcentral lists this transfer-messenger RNA (346 nucleotides) under Sphingomonas sp. It matches the Rfam family "Alphaproteobacteria transfer-messenger RNA". From Rfam's summary of the family: Bacterial tmRNA, also known as 10Sa RNA or SsrA, is named for its dual tRNA and mRNA-like properties. The record is from RNAcentral. Lineage: Bacteria; Pseudomonadati; Pseudomonadota; Alphaproteobacteria; Sphingomonadales; Sphingomonadaceae.
GACCUUUUCAUUAAGCGCGAAGUCCCUAUAUAGGAUCCUGCCGGGUUCGCCCGGCUAUGGGGAUAAACGAAGGCGUGCAAUAGGCACAGCGGACCCGGGGGCAGUACCCGGCGGCUCCACCAUAAGUGGUGGUGUACUGGACACCGUUUCUGACGGGGCCGAACCAGGAUCGACGUGUGUUGAAAAGCGCUAUCUAUCUCUCAGCGUGGGCCACUGUGACGGUCCGCUACACAAGUGCCAACGAUAACGAAGCACUCGCUAUUGCGGCGUAACCCCACGGCCUAACGGCCUAAGGUUAUUCCAAGAUGCGCGGUUGGACCCCACCGGGCAACAGAAGGGGAUUCCA